GAUUUUUAAAAUUCAAGCUGACCUGGGACAAGUCCUUGGAAAAUCGAUUCCAUUUAAAUUAGAAAUUCAUUUGGUACCCGGGUCGAAUGUUGAAAAAUGUAAUCUUCAAGAAAAGUUGUAUAUUAAUUCAUCAUUCCUGCAUAACAACAAGCAAUGAGCCGAGAUGGAGAAUGUUCCAGUCGACAAAAAAAAUUGGUGAGUUUGAAAAUUCAAAUUUCUAUUAUUAACAUCUAAUUUUAAGUUAUUCUGUUUAGUCUAACAAUAGAUUUAGUAUUUAAAUUAGAUUUAAAAACAAAUUAGAUAUAUUGCCUUAUUUCGUGAUCGUUAUGAUCAUAAUGUUUUCCAUUAGAAACUAAACUAUUUUGCCAGGAAUAGUUCGUGUUGUGAGAACAAAACACAGUAGUGUUAGAUUUAUCCAAUAACAAGUAAGCCACGUAUUUCUUCAAGAGAUGCUUGUUGGGUAAAC
This is a long non-coding RNA of Calliphora vicina (urban bluebottle blowfly), 466 nucleotides long. RefSeq lists it as uncharacterized. The record is from RefSeq and is a predicted model, not a curated record. NCBI's taxonomy places the organism in Eukaryota, Metazoa, Arthropoda, Insecta, Diptera, Calliphoridae. The transcript has 3 exons.